AAGCUCGUAGUUGAAUUUCGAAUGUGGCUGGGCGGUCCGCCUCACGGUGUGUACUGUCUGGCUGUGUUCUCUUUCUUGGUGAGCCGGCAUGCCCUUUACUGGGUGUGUUGGGGAACCAGGACGUUUACCUUGAGAAAAUUAGAGUGUUCAAAGCAGGCCUACGCCCGAAUACAUUAGCAUGGCAUAAUAAAAUAGGACGUGCGGUUCUAUUUUGUUGGUUUCUAGAGCCGCAGUAAUGAUUAAUAGGGAUAGUUGGG
RNAcentral lists this ribosomal RNA (257 nucleotides) under uncultured Basidiomycota. RNAcentral describes it as "partial 18S ribosomal RNA". It matches the Rfam family "Eukaryotic small subunit ribosomal RNA", at positions 624 to 886 of the family's 1831-position model. Lineage: Eukaryota; Fungi; Basidiomycota. The record is from RNAcentral.